Molecule: ribosomal RNA, 769 nt
Filed under: Karyolysus sp.
Lineage: Eukaryota; Apicomplexa; Karyolysidae
Description: SSU rRNA
Rfam family: Eukaryotic small subunit ribosomal RNA
Source: RNAcentral
UGGCUCAUUAAAACAGUUACAGUUUACUUGAUAAUAAAAUUUUUACAUGGAUAACCGUGGUAAUUCUAGAGCUAAUACAUGAGCAAAAUCUUGACUUUUUUAGAAGAGAUGCAUUUAUUAGAUAAAAAACCAAUACAUACUUUUUAAGUAUGAAAGUUGGUGAUUUACAAUAACUUAGCAAAUCGCAUAGUGAAAACUGGCGAUAAAUCAUUCAAGUUUCUGACCUAUCAGCUUUCGACGGUAUGGUAUUGGCUUACCGUGGCAGUGACGGUUAACGGGGGAUUAGGGUUCGAUUCCGGAGAGGGAGCCUGAGAAACGGCUACCACAUCUAAGGAAGGCAGCAGGCGCGCAAAUUACCCAAUUCUAACAGCAUAAGAGAGGUAGUGACAAGAAAUAACAAUACAAGGCAGUUAAAAUGCUUUGUAAUUGGAAUGAUAGAAAUUUAAACACUUUUUAAAGUAUCAAUUGGAGGGCAAGUCUGGUGCCAGCAGCCGCGGUAAUUCCAGCUCCAAUAGCGUAUAUUAAAAUUGUUGCAGUUAAAAAGCUCGUAGUUGAAUUUCUGCUUAAAAUAACCGGUCUGCUUUUAACAAAAGUGGUAUCUUGGUGUGUUUUUAGCAAUAAUGUCCUUUGAAAUGUGUUUUACUUUGUUGUAAAAUACAAUAUUCAGGAUUUUUACUUUGAGAAAAUUAGAGUGUUUCUAGCAGGCUAAUGCUUUGAAUACUGCAGCAUGGAAUAAUAAAAUAGGAAUUUGGUUCUACAUUAUUGGUUU